CGAAUGCUGACAUAAGUAACGAUAAAGCGGGUGAAAAGCCCGCUCGCCGGAAGACCAAGGGUUCCUGUCCAACGUUAAUCGGGGCAGGGUGAGUCGACCCCUAAGGCGAGGCCGAAAGGCGUAGUCGAUGGGAAACAGGUUAAUAUUCCUGUACUUGGUGUUACUGCGAAGGGGGGACGGAGAAGGCUAUGUUGGCCGGGCGACGGUUGUCCCGGUUUAAGCGUGUAGGCUGGUUUUCCAGGCAAAUCCGGAAAAUCAAGGCUGAGGCGUGAUGACGAGGCACUACGGUGCUGAAGCAACAAAUGCCCUGCUUCCAGGAAAAGCCUCUAAGCAUCAGGUAACAUCAAAUCGUACCCCAAACCGACACAGGUGGUCAGGUAGAGAAUACCAAGGCGCUUGAGAGAACUCGGGUGAAGGAACUAGGCAAAAUGGUGCCGUAACUUCGGGAGAAGGCACGCUGAUAUGUAGGUGAAGUCCCUCGCGGAUGGAGCUGAAAUCAGUCGAAGAUACCAGCUGGCUGCAACUGUUUAUUAAAAACACAGCACUGUGCAAACACGAAAGUGGACGUAUACGGUGUGACGCCUGCCCGGUGCCGGAAGGUUAAUUGAUGGGGUCAGCGCAAGCGAAGCUCUUGAUCGAAGCCCCGGUAAACGGCGGCCGUAACUAUAACGGUCCUAAGGUAGCGAAAUUCCUUGUCGGGUAAGUUCCGACCUGCACGAAUGGCGUAAUGAUGGCCAGGCUGUCUCCACCCGAGACUCAGUGAAAUUGAACUCGCUGUGAAGAUGCAGUGUACCCGCGGCAAGACGGAAAGACCCCGUGAACCUUUACUAUAGCUUGACACUGAACAUUGAGCCUUGAUGUGUAGGAUAGGUGGGAGGCUUUGAAGUGUGGACGCCAGUCUGCAUGGAGCCGACCUUGAAAUACCACCCUUUAAUGUUUGAUGUUCUAACGUGGACCCGUGAUCCGGGUUGCGGACAGUGUCUGGUGGGUAGUUUGACUGGGGCGGUCUCCUCCUAAAGAGUAACGGAGGAGCACGAAGGUUGGCUAAUCCUGGUCGGACAUCAGGAGGUUAGUGCAAUGGCAUAAGCCAGCUUGACUGCGAGCGUGACGGCGCGAGCAGGUGCGAAAGCAGGUCAUAGUGAUCCGGUGGUUCUGAAUGGAAGGGCCAUCGCUCAACGGAUAAAAGGUACUCCGGGGAUAACAGGCUGAUACCGCCCAAGAGUUCAUAUCGACGGCGGUGUUUGGCACCUCGAUGUCGGCUCAUCACAUCCUGGGGCUGAAGUAGGUCCCAAGGGUAUGGCUGUUCGCCAUUUAAAGUGGUACGCGAGCUGGGUUUAGAACGUCGUGAGAC
This 1351-nucleotide ribosomal RNA is filed under the name Escherichia coli. Its description in RNAcentral is "partial 23S ribosomal RNA". It matches the Rfam family "Bacterial large subunit ribosomal RNA", at positions 1291 to 2627 of the family's 2925-position model. Lineage: Bacteria; Pseudomonadati; Pseudomonadota; Gammaproteobacteria; Enterobacterales; Enterobacteriaceae. The record is from RNAcentral.